GCGACCUCAGCUCAGGCGGGGCUACCCGCUGAGUUUAAGCAUAUCAAUAAGCGGAGG
Molecule: ribosomal RNA, 57 nt
Filed under: Macrolobium acaciifolium
Lineage: Eukaryota; Viridiplantae; Streptophyta; Magnoliopsida; Fabales; Fabaceae
Description: partial 26S ribosomal RNA
Source: RNAcentral